UACGGAGGGUGCAAGCGUUAAUCGGAAUUACUGGGCGUAAAGCGCGCGUAGGCGGUUUUUUAAGUCGGAUGUGAAAGCCCCGGGCUCAACCUGGGAACUGCAUCCGAUACUGGAAGACUAGAAUGCGGGAGAGGGAGGUAGAAUUCCAUGUGUAGCAGAGAAAUGCGUAGAUAUAUGGAGGAAUACCAGUGGUGAAGGCGGCCUCCUGGCUCGACAUUGACGCUGAGGUGCGAAAGCGUGGGGAGCAAACGGG
RNAcentral lists this ribosomal RNA (253 nucleotides) under uncultured bacterium. Its description in RNAcentral is "partial 16S ribosomal RNA". It matches the Rfam family "Bacterial small subunit ribosomal RNA", at positions 524 to 776 of the family's 1533-position model. The record is from RNAcentral.